AUGAAAAUACCCCGCAUCACCUCGCCGUUGCUCAGCCGGCUGCCCAUCCCGCGGCCUCCCACGAUGCUGAUGCCCAGGGACUUGCCGGGCUGUCGGAAAAGCUCCACUCUGAGGGUGGAGGAACCACAACUUUUCAAACGAGAGAGUGUCUGCGAAGCAUGGCCCGCGCCUGAACGUUGCUCAGCUUGGCCGUGGGUUCCCCGUUAAUGGCCAGGAUGAGGUCGCCCACUCCCAAGCGGCCGUCCCGACUGAUAGAUCCGCCGCGGAUCACGCUCCGGAUCAGCAUCCCCAGGCCAUCUUUCAUGGCGCUCACCGUCAUCCCUGCGAGAGCAAGUUUGGGCUCUAAAAAUCGGACAAAAAAUCCUGCUUCGAUGUUGAACAACUUGAAUUUCUAAACACAAACCAAGGUUGGAGUUGCCCUUGACAACCGUGAUGGUCCGUUCAAAACUGCUCCCCGGGAUUGCCGCUUGGUCGCCAGCGUCCGGUCUUGUGUCGACCUCCUUAAAAACCACAACAAGACUCCUCAUCUGUGACACAAAAGUUCAGAACAUUCCUUCUAAACUUACCUUCACGGAGACUUGUUCUUCCACCAAAGUGCCGGUAGGCUCUUCGGCGUAACAUGGAAUCAAUUCCGCCGGUUCAGGUUGGAUUUCAGGUGUGAUCUGGAGGUCAUUAAAUGGACUGUAGGACUCCAAGGCUUCUGGUGUUUCCUCAACGGUGGCUAAGUCCUCAUCAGAACCGCCGAGAGGAGCAGUCAUGGGUGUCGAUCCGUAGUCGAGCUGUGUAGCUGCUCACCUCAGGUGUGGACGCGCGCAGGAAAUCCAGGUCCGAGGUACUUCCGUGAAGCGCAAUCAUCGACGCCUGGAAUGUUUCCUCCUCGCCGUACUAACUAACCAAUGUCGGCUCUGCUCGGAAAAGAACCCCGCCGGGCAGUUCAUCUUCAUCUCUGUCUUGGAGUAAACUACGGCUGAAGUCAAACGAAUGCAGGGUGGACAGCGGCGUGACUUCCUGCCCACCAUAAAGCUG
Syngnathus typhle (broad-nosed pipefish) is the source of this 1026-nucleotide long non-coding RNA. RefSeq lists it as uncharacterized. The record is from RefSeq and is a predicted model, not a curated record. NCBI's taxonomy places the organism in Eukaryota, Metazoa, Chordata, Actinopteri, Syngnathiformes, Syngnathidae. The transcript has 4 exons.